UGGUGGAGUGAUUUGUCUGGUUAAUUCCGUUAACGAACGAGACCUCAGCCUGCUAACUAGUUUAUUUCAUCUUUUGAUGAUCAUGAGCUUCUUAGAGGGACUAUCGGUUUCCAGCCGAUGGAAGUAUGAGGCAAUAACA
RNAcentral lists this ribosomal RNA (139 nucleotides) under uncultured eukaryote. RNAcentral describes it as "partial 18S ribosomal RNA". It matches the Rfam family "Eukaryotic small subunit ribosomal RNA", at positions 1299 to 1458 of the family's 1831-position model. The record is from RNAcentral.